Molecule: ribosomal RNA, 253 nt
Filed under: uncultured bacterium
Lineage: Bacteria
Description: partial 16S ribosomal RNA
Rfam family: Bacterial small subunit ribosomal RNA
Source: RNAcentral
UACGUAGGGUGCGAGCGUUGUCCGGAAUUACUGGGCGUAAAGAGCUCGUAGGUGGUUUGUCGCGUUGUCCGUGAAAACUCACAACUCAAUUGUGGGCGUGCGGGCGAUACGGGCAGACUGGAGUACUGCAGGGGAGACUGGAAUUCAUGGUGUAGCGGUGGAAUGCGCAGAUAUCAGGAGGAACACCGGUGGCGAAGGCGGGUCUCUGGGCAGUAACUGACGCUGAGGAGCGAAAGCGUGGGGAGCGAACAGG